This 59-nucleotide transfer RNA is filed under the name Bradyrhizobium japonicum. RNAcentral's name for it is "partial tRNA-Gln". It matches the Rfam family "tRNA", at positions 16 to 71 of the family's 71-position model. From Rfam's summary of the family: Transfer RNA (tRNA) molecules are approximately 80 nucleotides in length. Their secondary structure includes four short double-helical elements and three loops (D, anti-codon, and T loops). Further hydrogen bonds mediate the characteristic L-shaped molecular structure. tRNAs have two regions of fundamental functional importance: the anti-codon, which is responsible for specific mRNA codon recognition, and the 3' end, to which the tRNAs corresponding amino acid is attached (by aminoacyl-tRNA synthetases). tRNAs cope with the degeneracy of the genetic code in two manners: having more than one tRNA (with a specific anti-codon) for a particular amino acid; and 'wobble' base-pairing, i.e. permitting non-standard base-pairing at the 3rd anti-codon position. The record is from RNAcentral. Lineage: Bacteria; Pseudomonadati; Pseudomonadota; Alphaproteobacteria; Hyphomicrobiales; Nitrobacteraceae.
CGGUAGCACAACAGACUCUGACUCUGUUUGUCUUGGUUCGAAUCCAGGUUCCCCAGCCA